Mus musculus (house mouse) is the source of this 1033-nucleotide long non-coding RNA. RefSeq annotates it as RIKEN cDNA 4930447K03 gene. Lineage: Eukaryota; Metazoa; Chordata; Mammalia; Rodentia; Muridae. The transcript is spliced from 5 exons. The record is from RefSeq and is marked validated.
GAAAGAAGUCAGAGUCUGAUGGUAAUGGUGGCAGCGGCAGUGGGAGCCACAGGACUGGAGUCCUCUGCAAGAGACAAAGAUAACCUAAUAAAGCCAGUGUGUAAGUCUUUGAACUAGACUCCAUAUGACAGAGGCAAAUAAUUCUCCUUGUUGUGAUAUUUCUUUUUAAUAUUAAAAUUUUCUUCCAUUUGCUCAGAGACUCAAGUGAAAUGGAUGUGGAGUCAACAAACAGCAGGAGCCACCUGUCUGUGGAAGAGCAACGAGACUUUUAAUACCACUGCGCUAACAGGAGAAUUCAGACUCCACGUACAGAUAAUGCUGGACUACCCCUGCCACUCCCAAAUUUAGCUCCCAGCCAGGGAACCAUGUCUCACAAGGAGGAGCUCUUAGUCAACAUGCACUGCAAAAGACUUAAAAAUUUCAGUUUUGGGAUGUGAUAAUCGAUGAACCUGGCAUCGACCCCACUGGCAGUUACCAUGGCGACAGUGACUUGCAGCUGGAGAGGAUCAGUGUGUACUACAAUGAAGCUGCUGCUAAAGGAGAUCCCUUGGAGUUUUGAAAGCACUUCCCCUGGAUGUUCCUUGGAUUCGGCUUCCUGUGCAGACUGCUCUUACAAAGGCAGCAUAGACCACGGGAGGAACAGAAAGGCAGACACUGUUCGUGAAUCAAAGGCUGAUGAAGUACAGCAGUGUGGCUGGAAAAGGCCCACAUGGAAGAGCACACAGGACAACCAUUUCUGAGCCAGGCUUUCUUCCUCGUGCUUGGCAAAUAUUUGCUGCAAAACUCCCCUGCAUGCGUUUAGCAAUGGCAAAAUUAGGCUCUGUUCAAAUAACUGGCUUCCUUCCCUUUAGAAGAGAAGAAAAUAUUGAUGUCAACCUCCCCGACUUGUUAUUUGCCUUGAAAGUGAAAAUGAACAUAUCUUGGGCUCUGGAACACUCUGGAAGAACUGAAUAGUGUUCUUUCUACACUAGCUUGGCCCGGUGGACGGUAGCCACACCCAAAUUCCUUGGCAAAUAGAUCUUGGCGAGAUGUG